AUUGAGCAUAAGGAAACAUAGUCCAAGCAGUUCUUUGGUGGUGUUUGCAGAAAAGGAUCAUUGUCGUCUCAUGGAGCUGAACUCGAUAAUGACACCCCACAAGGAAGGAAACAAAUUGCAUUUUCUGUCUUGCCUGUUGAGCUCUGAUAGCUGUCACACUUGUUUGGAUUGAAAGCAAUAAAGGUUGAGAAUUGGGUUUUUGAAUCCACACUGCAUAAAUAUUUUUGUUAAAUUUCCACACUGCAUAAAGGUUGAUCCGAAUCUAUUUUGUUGGCACAUUUAACGGUAUAGGAAUAACUUUCCCACUGGAAGCACACUUAUAACCAUAAUCAAGGUCUUGGCUGUAGCAUCUUUCAACAACUGCAGGAGUGCAAGAAAUGCAGUUGCAAGAGUGGCUUGUAGCCUAACUAUGCAACCAAAAGGCUCAACUGAUUGUCUAAUUAAAGUUUCUUAACAAAGCAUUAACCAACAAACAUGAUCAUCUAGUACUAGAGUGCACCUUAGAACAGAUACAACGGUAAAAAUAGUGUUCGGAGUCCCUUUCAGUUUUAAUAUUUGCUUUUACAGUCAUAUUUUGUUCCAUUUGCGAGAAGGAAUGCUAUGUUGGUUGCUUGAGGGACCAUGUGCAUCAUGUGUGAUAUGAGGGAAUUACCAAAGGUGUGAUGGCUUUGCAAUGAUGACUAUUGUAUACUCAUUUGAAUUGCGGGCUAUCAGUAUGGCCUAGCUUCAAUAGGGAUAUAAAUGUUGUAAUGUUUGUAAUUGAAGUACAUCCCUGAGAGACUGAGUUUGCAGCUGAUUGUUCGAUUGUGAUUUCUGAUAAUCUUGAGGUUAUUGAAGGAACGCGUUGGUCGUAUGUUUGAUAGUUAGGAUGGAUUGAUGCUUUUCUGAGCACCGUAGUCAAUGCCCUACGUUGAUAGUGAAGGUGCCAGCUUCAACGUUGAUUUCUCACACUGCCGCAAAAGAUUAUUUCAUAUGUUGGUCCCGUGGUUUAAUGUAUUCUAAUUUAGUGUUUUUAUAUUUUCAUAUGUAUACUGUAAAGUUUUGGUGUUAUGCCAUUAAUAAAGUGAAACU
Molecule: long non-coding RNA, 1071 nt
Organism: Papaver somniferum (opium poppy)
Lineage: Eukaryota; Viridiplantae; Streptophyta; Magnoliopsida; Ranunculales; Papaveraceae
Exons: 3
Source: RefSeq, a predicted model, not a curated record